UAGCAAAUCUAGGUCUACAUCAUCAU
RNAcentral lists this non-coding RNA (26 nucleotides) under Homo sapiens (human). Lineage: Eukaryota; Metazoa; Chordata; Mammalia; Primates; Hominidae. The record is from RNAcentral.